CCGGACCCGACUGCUAUUUGGCUGAGGAUAGCCCAUGCGAGUUGAAUGGGAUACCUAAAGUUCCCAUGGCAAACUGCUCAGUAACACAUGAUCAACUUACCCUAUAGAGAAGAAUAACCUCGGGAAACUGAGGAUAAUGUUUCAUAGUUGAAUUGGGUUGGAAAAGUUUUUCGACCAAAGGGGUAAAAAAAAUGGUUUUUUUCUGCUAUAGGAUAGGAUCGUGUUCGAUUAUGGUUGUUGGUGACGUAAUGGCUCACCAAGCCUAUAAUCUAUAGGGGCCGUGAGAGCGGGAGCCCCGAGAUGGGUACUGAGACAACGACCCAGGCCUUACGAGGCGCAAUAGGCGCGAAACCUCCGCAAUACACGAAAGUGUGACGGGGUUACCCAAAGUGUUCAUUACAACUGUGGUAGGUGACUAAUGUUCCAUACUAUAAAGGAGAGGGCAAGGCUGGUGCCCUUGCCCUCGGUAAAACCAGCUCUUCCAUUGGUCGGGAUAAUUAUUGGGCUUAAAGUGUCCGUGCCGGUUUAGUAAGUUCCUGGUAAAAUCGGGUAGCUUAACUAUCUGUUUGCUCUGAAUAUGACUAUACUAUAGGGCGGGAGAGGUCUGAGGUACUACCGGUCUAGGGGUGAAAUCUGAUAAUCCUUGUGGGACCACCUUUGGUCAACGCGUCACACUGGAACGCGCCUGACUAUGAGGGACGAAAGCCAGGGGAGCGAACCGGAUUAUAUACCCGGGUAGUCCUGCCCGUCAACUAUGCAUACUAGGAGAUGGCUCAGUCUUGAGAUGUGUCUUUGCCCUAUGGAAACCGUUAAUUGUGCCGCCUGGAAAAGUCGGUCACGAGGCUUAACUUAUCCCAUUUGACGGGGGAGCAC
RNAcentral lists this ribosomal RNA (873 nucleotides) under uncultured archaeon. RNAcentral describes it as "bacterial SSU rRNA". It matches the Rfam family "Archaeal small subunit ribosomal RNA", at positions 17 to 879 of the family's 1478-position model. The record is from RNAcentral.